This 487-nucleotide ribosomal RNA is filed under the name uncultured bacterium. Its description in RNAcentral is "partial 16S ribosomal RNA". It matches the Rfam family "Bacterial small subunit ribosomal RNA", at positions 28 to 507 of the family's 1533-position model. The record is from RNAcentral.
GAUGAACGCUAGCGAUAGGCUUAACACAUGCCAGUCGAGGGGCAGCACAAGGUAGCUUGCUAUCUGGGUGGCGACCGGCGCACGGGUGCGUAACGCGUAUGCAACUUGCCCUAUACAGGAGGAUAACCCGUCGAAAGACGGACUAAUACUGCGUAUGCUCACAACUUGGCAUCAAGUGGUGAGGAAAGAAAUUCGGUAUAGGAUAGGCAUGCGUCCCAUUAGCUUGUUGGUGAGGUAACGGCUCACCAAGGCAACGAUGGGUAGGGGAACUGAGAGGUUUAUCCCCCACACUGGUACUGAGACACGGACCAGACUCCUACGGGAGGCAGCAGUGAGGAAUAUUGGUCAAUGGGCGCGAGCCUGAACCAGCCAAGUCGCGUGAAGGAUGACUGUCUUAUGGAUUGUAAACUUCUUUUAUACGGGAAUAACAAGAGUCACGUGUGACUCCCUGCAUGUACCGUAUGAAUAAGCAUCGGCUAACUCCGUG